GAUAAAAUUUUUAUGUUUUUCAUAAUUUAUUAAAAAUUUAUUUUACAUAUAAAUUUUAGUGUUAAAUUUUAUUUAUUUUAAUAAUAAUUAAUAAAAAUUUUAUAGUGAUUAAAAUUAAAAAUUUAAGAAAUUAAGAUU
RNAcentral lists this ribosomal RNA (138 nucleotides) under Maniola tithonus (gatekeeper butterfly). RNAcentral describes it as "partial 12S ribosomal RNA". Lineage: Eukaryota; Metazoa; Arthropoda; Insecta; Lepidoptera; Nymphalidae. The record is from RNAcentral.